AGCAGAAAAGUUCUGUGUUCCAGAUCGUUUUCCUUCGAGCUCCCGUUUGGAUUUCGGUUCGAUUUCCCGUGACCGCGUCAAGGUUUUGUGCAGUUUAAACCAAAAUGAAAAUUCCACUGGGCCCGAAACAAGCCGAACAGGCCACCAAAUGGAUCUCUUCCGCCAUGGGAUUCGGAGGAGCCGCCGCUCUGGUCGGAUGCUACUUCACCGAUUGGAAGAUAAUCGUUGCGUACAUCCCAUUCUACGGUGGCAAGUUCGA
Molecule: long non-coding RNA, 259 nt
Organism: Ochlerotatus camptorhynchus
Lineage: Eukaryota; Metazoa; Arthropoda; Insecta; Diptera; Culicidae
Exons: 2
Source: RefSeq, a predicted model, not a curated record